GAGUUUGAUCGUGGCUCAGGAUGAACGCUGGCGGCGUGCCUAACACAUGCAAGUCGAACGGAGUUUAUGAGGAAGAAGCUUCGGCGGAAUUCUUAUAAACUUAGUGGCGGACGGGUGAGUAACACGUGGAGAACCUGCCUCUUACCGGGGGACAGCAGUUGGAAACGACUGAUAAUACCGCAUAAGCGCACGAGACCGCAUGGUCCUGUGUGAAAAGAUUUAUCGGUAAGAGAUGGCCCCGCGUCUGAUUAGCCAGUUGGCGGGGUAACGGCCCACCAAAGCGACGAUCAGUAGCCGGCCUGAGAGGGUGAACGGCCACAUUGGGACUGAGACACGGCCCAGACUCCUACGGGAGGCAGCAGUGGGGGAUAUUGCACAAUGGAGGAAACUCUGAUGCAGCGACGCCGCGUGAGUGAAGAAGUAUUUCGGUAUGUAAAGCUCUAUCAGCAGGGAGAAAGACCUCGAAAGAGGGAUGACGGUACCUGAGUAAGAAGCCCGGCUACACGUGCCAGCAGC
Molecule: ribosomal RNA, 516 nt
Filed under: uncultured microorganism
Description: bacterial SSU rRNA
Rfam family: Bacterial small subunit ribosomal RNA
Source: RNAcentral